RNAcentral lists this transfer RNA (65 nucleotides) under Leiodidae sp. BMNH 1274772. RNAcentral's name for it is "tRNA-Gly". The record is from RNAcentral. Lineage: Eukaryota; Metazoa; Arthropoda; Insecta; Coleoptera; Leiodidae.
AUUUAUAUAAUAUAAAUAUUAUAUUUAACUUCCAAUUAAAAAAUCUAAUUAAUUUAGUAUAAAUA